This 85-nucleotide transfer RNA is filed under the name Felis catus (domestic cat). It matches the Rfam family "tRNA". Rfam says of the family: Transfer RNA (tRNA) molecules are approximately 80 nucleotides in length. Their secondary structure includes four short double-helical elements and three loops (D, anti-codon, and T loops). Further hydrogen bonds mediate the characteristic L-shaped molecular structure. tRNAs have two regions of fundamental functional importance: the anti-codon, which is responsible for specific mRNA codon recognition, and the 3' end, to which the tRNAs corresponding amino acid is attached (by aminoacyl-tRNA synthetases). tRNAs cope with the degeneracy of the genetic code in two manners: having more than one tRNA (with a specific anti-codon) for a particular amino acid; and 'wobble' base-pairing, i.e. permitting non-standard base-pairing at the 3rd anti-codon position. Lineage: Eukaryota; Metazoa; Chordata; Mammalia; Carnivora; Felidae. The record is from Rfam by way of RNAcentral.
GCCUGGGUGGCUCAGUCGGUUAAGCAUCAGACUUCAGUUCAGGUCAUGAUCUCAUGGUCCGUGGGUUCAAGCCCCACAUCUGGCU